RNAcentral lists this ribosomal RNA (497 nucleotides) under uncultured bacterium. RNAcentral describes it as "partial 16S ribosomal RNA". It matches the Rfam family "Bacterial small subunit ribosomal RNA", at positions 28 to 507 of the family's 1533-position model. The record is from RNAcentral.
GAUGAACGCUGGCGGCGUGCCUAAUACAUGCAAGUCGAGCGAACAGACGAGGAGCUUGCUCCUCUGACGUUAGCGGCGGACGGGUGAGUAACAUGUGGAUAACCUACCUAUAAGACUGGGAUAACUUCGGGAAACCGGAGCUAAUACCGGAUAAUAUAUUGAACCGCAUGGUUCAAUAGUGAAAGACGGUUUUGCUGUCACUUAUAGAUGGAUCCGCGCCGCAUUAGCUAGUUGGUAAGGUAACGGCUUACCAAGGCAACGAUGCGUAGCCGACCUGAGAGGGGGAUCGGCCACACUGGAACUUAGACACGGUCCAGACUCCUACGGGAGGCAGCAGUAGGGAAUCUUCCGCAAUGGGCGAAAGCCUGACGGAGCAACGCCGCGUGAGUGAUGACGGUCUUCGGAUCGUAAAACUCUGUUAUUAGGGAAGAACAAAUGUGUAAGUAACUAUGCACGUCUUGACGGUACCUAAUCAGAAAGCCACGGCUAACUACGUG